AACUAUCAACCUUUGUGGCUUUCUAUUUUGUUAGCCAUUUUGGUUUGGAUGUUGGAGGUUGCUGGCCUUUAAAGGUCAGCUCUUCUUAAAUACAUUAGCGAAAUCUUUGCUGAAUUAUCCUUUGGUGUGAUAAUUAUCUAUGCCAUUGAGAAUCACAGAUUUUGCUUCUAACCGUCCUUUUGGACACCAUUGUACAAAU
This 199-nucleotide unclassified non-coding RNA is filed under the name uncultured Entoloma. RNAcentral describes it as "sequence contains ITS2". Lineage: Eukaryota; Fungi; Basidiomycota; Agaricomycetes; Agaricales; Entolomataceae. The record is from RNAcentral.